This 69-nucleotide transfer RNA is filed under the name Fusarium oxysporum. RNAcentral describes it as "tRNA-Asp". It matches the Rfam family "tRNA". Rfam says of the family: Transfer RNA (tRNA) molecules are approximately 80 nucleotides in length. Their secondary structure includes four short double-helical elements and three loops (D, anti-codon, and T loops). The record is from RNAcentral. Lineage: Eukaryota; Fungi; Ascomycota; Sordariomycetes; Hypocreales; Nectriaceae. RNAcentral also lists the same sequence under 2 other names.
UCCGUAGUAUAGUGGUCAGUAUGCAAGCUUGUCACGCUUGAGACCCGGGUUCAAUUCCCGGCGGGAGAG